RNAcentral lists this ribosomal RNA (253 nucleotides) under uncultured bacterium. RNAcentral describes it as "partial 16S ribosomal RNA". It matches the Rfam family "Bacterial small subunit ribosomal RNA", at positions 524 to 776 of the family's 1533-position model. The record is from RNAcentral.
UACGUAGGCAGCAAGCGUUGUUCGGAGUUACUGGGCGUAAAGGGUGUGUAGGCGGUUGCUUAAGUUUGGUGUGAAAUCUCCCGGCUCAACUGGGAGGGUGCGCCGAAUACUGAGUGACUCGAGUGCGGGAGAGGAAAGUGGAAUUCCUGGUGUAGCGGUGAAAUGCGUAGAUAUCAAGUGGAACACCAGUGGCGAAGGCGAGUCUCUGGACAUUUCCUGACGCUGAGGCACGAAAGCCAGGGGAGCAAACGGG